GGUAGGACUACCCGCUGAACUUAAGCAUAUCA
Molecule: ribosomal RNA, 32 nt
Filed under: Laccaria bicolor
Lineage: Eukaryota; Fungi; Basidiomycota; Agaricomycetes; Agaricales; Hydnangiaceae
Also listed under: 18 other names
Description: partial 28S ribosomal RNA
Source: RNAcentral